CAGCCGCCGCGGGAAUACGUAGGUGGCAAGCGUUGUCCGGAAUUAUUGGGCGUAAAGGGCUCGCAGGCGGUUUCUUAAGUCUGAUGUGAAAGCCCCCGGCUCAACCGGGGAGGGUCAUUGGAAACUGGGAAACUUGAGUGCAGAAGAGGAGAGUGGAAUUCCACGUGUAGCGGUGAAAUGCGUAGAGAUGUGGAGGAACACCAGUGGCGAAGGCGACUCUCUGGUCUGUAACUGACGCUGAGGAGCGAGAGCGUGGGGAGCGAACAGGAUUAGAGACCCCUGUAGUCCCUGUCUCUUAUAA
This 301-nucleotide ribosomal RNA is filed under the name uncultured bacterium. RNAcentral describes it as "partial 16S ribosomal RNA". It matches the Rfam family "Bacterial small subunit ribosomal RNA", at positions 509 to 809 of the family's 1533-position model. The record is from RNAcentral.